This 233-nucleotide ribosomal RNA is filed under the name uncultured bacterium. RNAcentral describes it as "partial 16S ribosomal RNA". It matches the Rfam family "Bacterial small subunit ribosomal RNA", at positions 122 to 354 of the family's 1533-position model. The record is from RNAcentral.
CAAUCUGCCUUGGAGUGGGGAAUAACGGCUGGAAACAGCCGCUAAUACCGCAUGAUACAGUUGGGAGGCAUCUCUCUGACUGUCAAAGAUUUAUCGCUCUGAGAUGAGCUCGCGUCUGAUUAGCUGGUUGGCGGGGUAACGGCCCACCAAGGCGACGAUCAGUAGCCGGACUGAGAGGUUGGCCGGCCACAUUGGGACUGAGACACGGCCCAGACUCCUACGGAAGGCAGCAG